This 357-nucleotide ribosomal RNA is filed under the name uncultured Streptococcus sp. Its description in RNAcentral is "bacterial SSU rRNA". It matches the Rfam family "Bacterial small subunit ribosomal RNA", at positions 1024 to 1382 of the family's 1533-position model. The record is from RNAcentral. Lineage: Bacteria; Bacillati; Bacillota; Bacilli; Lactobacillales; Streptococcaceae.
ACGAUCGGUGACAGGUGGUGCAUGGUUGUCGUCAGCUCGUGUCGUGAGAUGUUGGGUUAAGUCCCGCAACGAGCGCAACCCCUAUUGUUAGUUGCCAUCAUUCAGUUGGGCACGUCUAGCGAGACUGCCGGUAAUAAACCGGAGGAAGGUGGGAUGACGUCAAAUCAUCAUGCCCCUUAUGACCUGGGCUACACACGUGCUACAAUGGUUGGUACAACGAGUUGCGAGUCGGUGACGGCGAGCUAAUCUCUUAAAGCCAAUCUCAGUUCGGAUUGUAGGCUGCAACUCGCCUACAUGAAGUCGGAAUCGCUAGUAAUCGCGGAUCAGCACGCCGCGGUGAAUACGUUCCCGGGCCUU